UACGUAGGCAGCAAGCGUUGUUCGGAAUUACUGGGCGUAAAGAGUGUGUAGGCGGUGCUCCAAGUCUGGUGUGAAAUCUCCCGGCUUAACUGGGAGGGUGCAUUAGAAACUGGAAUGCUAGAGGAUGGGAGAGGUAAGCGGAAUUCCUGGUGUAGCAGUGAAAUGCGUAGAGAUCGGGAGGAACACCAGUGGCGAAGGCGGCCUUCUGGACCAAUACUGACGCUCAUGCACGAAAGCGUGGGGAGCAAACAGG
RNAcentral lists this ribosomal RNA (253 nucleotides) under uncultured bacterium. RNAcentral describes it as "partial 16S ribosomal RNA". It matches the Rfam family "Bacterial small subunit ribosomal RNA", at positions 524 to 776 of the family's 1533-position model. The record is from RNAcentral.